GCUGCAGCUUCAUCUGGCAGAUGUCUGCAGGAGUCUGAAUGGAUACAUGUUGCCAUUAAAUGCUAUUAGACUGAAUUAUCCUAUUCUUCACUGGCCAGAUCUCUGCAGGAUCUGCAAGUUUGUCAAGUCAAAUAUACAGCCUAAUGAUGUUUCUUUAGCAUCUCAUUAUGCUAAUCAGUCGCUGGUUCAUGAGGGUCUACAGCGUGUUCCAGCAGCCCAUCGUGAUGAUCACUGCCUGCGUUUGUUCUGUCAGGUGUUUUGUUUCCUGAAGCUCUGAGAAGGUGCUGGAUUCACUCUCACACUCCAUUAGUGAUUGGCGUUUGAAAAAAAUCAUGAUGCACUUGUGCUUUUCAGCCUUUCGCUCCUCUUUACUUAAACUUGAAAUUCAGUAUAGCAUCUAUAAUACAGCCUUCAUGCUUUUAAUGUGAAACUAGUCACAGCUAGACAGACUUUCUUCUCAAACCUUAUAAACAGUAACUUAAACAACACUCUUUUUGCUACUACUGAGAGACUGACAAACCCCCCCCACCCCAACCUCAAGUCAAAUUUCCAGUGAAAUUCUCUGAGACAGCAAAUGCAAUGAGUGUGCUUCCAUCUUUUCUGAGAAGAUCAAUAAUAUCAGGAAGGCAAUUAGCACAUCCCCAAGUUAUGCAGAGGUCAGACAGAUUCGACUGCAAUAUCAAAAAGAAGAUAUUAUGUCUGCUUUUGAAGAAACUCAUAGCAAAAUUUUGGAAGAAAUAGUACAGCACCUUAAAUCGCCAACCUGCUAUCUUGACACACUUCCCACAUAUUUUUUUACAAAAGUGUGCUUAACUGUUUAGAAGCAGAUCUCUUAGAAUUGGUGAACGCCUCACUUCUUUCUGGGACUUUUCCAAACUCCCUGAAAACUGCAGUUGUUAAACCCCUUCUGAAAAAGAGCAAUCUUGAUAACACCGUAUUGAGCAACUGUAGACCAAUAUCAAAUCUUCCUUUUAUAGGCAAGAUUCUUGAAAGGCAGUCUUUAAGGAGCUGAACAAAUACUUAAACUCAAAUGGAUACCUGGACAAUUUUCAAUCUGGUUUCCGACCACAUCACAGCACAGAGACAGCGAUCAUUAAGAUAAUAAAUUAUAUUCGCUUUAAUUCUGAUUCUGGCA
Long non-coding RNA from Cyprinus carpio (common carp), 1135 nucleotides. The record is from Ensembl. Lineage: Eukaryota; Metazoa; Chordata; Actinopteri; Cypriniformes; Cyprinidae.